Bradysia coprophila is the source of this 468-nucleotide long non-coding RNA. The record is from RefSeq and is a predicted model, not a curated record. NCBI's taxonomy places the organism in Eukaryota, Metazoa, Arthropoda, Insecta, Diptera, Sciaridae.
CAAACAUUCGAUCAAUUCAGUGAGUGGUGAUGUUGCGCAAAUUUAUUGUGGCCGUACCUGUUUUUGCUUUCAUCUGUACGAUAGUAUUUACAGAGCCAAUAAUACAAGACAAUCAAUCAGCAGAUACUCGAGCUAAAGUAGUGAAAUUCAAAAAUCAGAGCAAUAGAACAGGAAUGUAUACAGUUAUAUAUGAACUUAGCAAUGGCAUAAUUCACUAUGAAGACGGUACACUCAACGAUGAUAAUCACAAUCUAGCCGAAGAUCCAGUCGAAGGAACUUACUGGUUCGUAGGACCAGACAAUAGAACGUACAAGAUUGAUUACAUAGUUAAUGAGGAUACCUUUGAACCGCAAGUCGGAGAAGGUAGUGGAGUGAGUAAUAAUUUACUCCGAUCACUGGUUGGUUGACUUUAUUGUAGUACAAACUCUGAUGUAUUCUUCUGGAUUAAAAACACGAUUCCUAGAAAAA